ACAAAGUUAACGUUAAGGAAGAGGUGGAUGCAUGUGCAGAUCAUACCCUUGCCAUUAAGAAGAUCAACAGUGAAACCUCAGUGGAGGUCAGUUGGGACAUCUCAGAGGCAGCAACCUUGGGAAAACCUGAAAAACUGCCUCAUAUAAAAUCUGAAUUUCAAGCAGAGACAAAUUUCUUUCGGAGGUGAAACGAUGGCAUUAUCAAUCCCUUUGCUCACACCUCAAAUUGAUGUGGAGCAAGAAAAUUACCUUCGCAUGAGAGUGUUUCUGGAACGUGCUACAGAUGUUCUUAGAGAUGUAUUGACUAGAGAAUUACACAAAACUUAUCCAGGGGACUUUGACCCAUCAACAGGCAUAUUGUAUAAUGUUCUGAACAUUCCAGCUGUAAAAAACAACUUGCUUCAGUUAAGUAGGAGAAAUGUUCUGAAUGCAAGCCAAAAGCAGAUUUUGUAUCCAGCUGGGGCCCCUUCCAUAACUGCAAAAGUAAAUGAUUUUGAUGUCACUUUAAC
Molecule: long non-coding RNA, 509 nt
Organism: Lingula anatina
Lineage: Eukaryota; Metazoa; Brachiopoda; Lingulata; Lingulida; Lingulidae
Source: RefSeq, a predicted model, not a curated record